AGUGAACGCUGGCGGCGUGCUUAACACAUGCAAGUCGAACGGAUGAAAUAAGCUUGCUUAUUUCGUUAGUGGCGCACGGGUGAGUAAUGUAUAGCUAACCUGCCCUUUAGUGGGGGACAACAGUUGGAAACGACUGCUAAUACCCCAUACUCCUUCUUAUCACAAGGUAAGUUGGGAAAGAUUUAUUGCUAAAGGAUGGGGCUUUAUUGUAUCAGCUAGUUGGUGGGGUAAUGGCCUACCAAGGCUAUGACGCAUACCUGGUCUGAGAGGAUGAUCAGGCACACUGGAACUGAGACACGGUCCAGACUCCUACGGGAGGCAGCAGUGGGGAAUAUUGCACAAUGGGGGAAACCCUGAUGCAGCAACGCCGCGUGGAGGAUGACGCAUUUCGGUGUGUAAACUCCUUUUAUAAGGGAAGAUAAUGACGGUACCUUAUGAAUAAGCACCGGCUAACUCCGUG
Molecule: ribosomal RNA, 460 nt
Filed under: uncultured bacterium
Lineage: Bacteria
Description: bacterial SSU rRNA
Rfam family: Bacterial small subunit ribosomal RNA
Source: RNAcentral